UACGAAGGGGGCUAGCGUUGUUCGGAAUUACUGGGCGUAAAGCGCGCGCAGGCGGUUCUUCAAGUCAGAGGUGAAAGCCCAGGGCUCAACCCUGGAAUGGCCUUUGAGACUAGAGAACUAGGGUACGGGAGAGGUGAGUGGAAUUCCGAGUGUAGAGGUGAAAUUCGUAGAUAUCGGGAGGAACACCGGUGGCGAAGGCGACCCGCUGGCCAGCAACUGACACUGAGACGCGAAAGCGUGGGGAGCAAACAGG
This 253-nucleotide ribosomal RNA is filed under the name uncultured bacterium. Its description in RNAcentral is "partial 16S ribosomal RNA". It matches the Rfam family "Bacterial small subunit ribosomal RNA", at positions 524 to 776 of the family's 1533-position model. The record is from RNAcentral.